Molecule: long non-coding RNA, 1095 nt
Organism: Myotis myotis
Lineage: Eukaryota; Metazoa; Chordata; Mammalia; Chiroptera; Vespertilionidae
Exons: 2
Source: RefSeq, a predicted model, not a curated record
UGAGACUAAUUAACUUAAAACUCAUGAAAGUCUCCAAUGAAAAUUCGCAUCCUACUGAGAGAACCUGGGGAAGGUUACUCACAGCUUCCGUGGGACCACUAGCGCCAGUGGGCACAUCCGGAGCAAACACAUCGGAGACACAUUUUCCUUUCUUUGUGAACUCAGCCUCAUCUCAAAGGACUCAGGAAUGUAAUUCAUUCAGAACUGGAAAGAAUCUCUUUUGAAACAGUGAGGUAAUCAUUUAAAAUCUAUUUACCUCUUAGGUUAAACCUUUAAUCUACUAUUACAAAUAUUUAUUCUCCUCUAUCCAAUCCAUAGUUCAUUCAGCAAAUAUUUAUUGAGUACCCACAAUGUGCUAGAAUUCACAGGACAUUCUUCUGGAUGGAAGUCAUGGAAGCAGAACCAAAGUGGAAUGAUUUCAUUUCUGUCUCGCAUCUGUUGACAUUAUACUGUCAGCCCCAAACAACCUUGGUCUAAUAUACUAUCAAGCAGCUUUGAAGACAGGAGGAACAUGGGCUUUUACAUCAGAUUUAGGGAUGGGAGGGGUGGUAGGCAGAAUGGCCCCUAAGAUUUCCCGCCCGGCUGGUAUACGUGAUAUGCAUAUUCCCUGGGACUACACCAUAUAAUGGAUUUUACUCCUGUCGUCAGGCUAUGUUUCAGUUGACCUUAAGAUAAUAAAAUUACCCAGGUGAGCUUGACCUAAUCCUAUCUAUACUUUUAAAGCAAAGGGUUUUCUGUAGCUGGUUUUAGGGGAAGAAGUUAAAAAGAUUUGGAGCUCAAGAGGAUUUGAUUCACCAUUAUUGGUAUGAAGAUAGAGAGGAGUCAUGGCAAAGGAUGUGGGCAGCCUAUAGGAGCUGAAGGAAGCCCCAGGUAACAGCCAAGAAGGAAACCGGACCUUCUUUUUAGAACCACAGGAACAGAAUUCUGCUGACAAGAAUAAGCUUGAAAAGUGGAGUCUUCCCCAGAGCAUCCAGAAGAACACUCAGUUGGGGCAAUACCUUGAUUUCGGCCUCACCAUACCCCCAGCUGAGGCCCCAGCCAUGCCAUACUCUGAAUCACAAACCUGUGAGCUAAUAAAUGGAUAUUUUAAUGGUA